CCUACGGGGGGCAGCAGUGAGGAAUAUUGGUCAAUGGCCGUAAGGCUGAACCAGCCAAGUAGCGUGAGGGAAGACUGCCCUAUGGGUUGUAAACCUCUUUUAUGCGGGGAUAAAGUUGUCCACGUGUGGAUGUUUGCAGGUACCGCAUGAAUAAGGACCGGCUAAUUCCGUGCCAGCAGCCGCGGUAAUACGGAAGGUCCGGGCGUUAUCCGGAUUUAUUGGGUUUAAAGGGGGCGUAGCCCGGUCUUUAAGCGUGCCGGGAAAUUUUGUGGCUCAACGAGGAGAGUGCGGCGCGAACCGGAGACCUGGAGUGCGCGGAAGGUAGGCGGAAUUCGUGGUGUAGCGGUGAAAUGCUUAGAUAUCACGAAGAACCCCGAUUGCGAAGGCAGCCUGCCGCAGCGUGACUGACGCUGAAGCUCGAAAGCGCGGGUAUCGAACAGGAUUAGAUACCCGAGUAGUC
RNAcentral lists this ribosomal RNA (460 nucleotides) under uncultured bacterium. RNAcentral's name for it is "partial 16S ribosomal RNA". It matches the Rfam family "Bacterial small subunit ribosomal RNA", at positions 338 to 795 of the family's 1533-position model. The record is from RNAcentral.